GACGAACGCUGGCGGCGUGCUUAACACAUGCAAGUCGAGCGCCCCGCAAGGGGAGCGGCGGACGGGUGAGUAACGCGUGGGAACGUACCCUUUGCUACGGAAUAGCCUCGGGAAACUGGGAGUAAUACCGUAUGUGCCCUUCGGGGGAAAGAUUUAUCGGCAAAGGAUCGGCCCGCGUUGGAUUAGGUAGUUGGUGGGGUAAUGGCCUACCAAGCCGACGAUCCAUAGCUGGUUUGAGAGGAUGAUCAGCCACACUGGGACUGAGACACGGCCCAGACUCCUACGGGAGGCAGCAGUGGGGAAUCUUAGACAAUGGGCGCAAGCCUGAUCUAGCCAUGCCGCGUGAGCGAUGAAGGCCUUAGGGUUGUAAAGCUCUUUCAGUGGGGAAGAUAAUGACUGUACCCACAGAAGAAGCCCCGGCUAACUCCGUG
Molecule: ribosomal RNA, 431 nt
Filed under: uncultured bacterium
Lineage: Bacteria
Description: bacterial SSU rRNA
Rfam family: Bacterial small subunit ribosomal RNA
Source: RNAcentral